GACGAACGCUGGCGGCGUGCUUAACACAUGCAAGUCGAACGGAAAGGCCCUGCUUUUGUGGGGUGCUCGUGUGGCGAACGGGUGAGUAACACGUGAGUAACCUGCCCUUGACUUUGGGAUAACUUCAGGAAACUGGGGCUAAUACCGGAUAGGAGCUCCUGCUGCAUGUUGUGGGUUGGAAAGUUUCGGCGGUUGGGGAUGGACUCGCGGCUUAUCGGCUUGUUGGUGGGGUAGUGGCUUACCAAGGCUUUGACGGGUAGCCGGCAUGAGAGGUGGACCGGCCACAUUGGGACUGAGAUACGGACCAGACUCCUACGGGAGGCAGCAGGGGGGAAUAUGGCACAAUGGGCGGAAGCCUGAUGCAGCAACGCCGCGUGCGGGAUGACGGCCUUCGGGGUGUAAACCGCUGUCGCCUGUGACGAAGCGGGAGUGACGGUAAUGGGUAAAGAAGCACCGGCUAACUACGUG
Molecule: ribosomal RNA, 468 nt
Filed under: uncultured bacterium
Lineage: Bacteria
Description: partial 16S ribosomal RNA
Rfam family: Bacterial small subunit ribosomal RNA
Source: RNAcentral